AGAAUCAACGCUGGCGGCGUGCCUAACACAUGCAAGUCGCACGAGAAAGGGUAGCAAUACCUGAGUACAGUGGCGCACGGGUGAGUAACACGUGAAUAAUCUACCUCCGAGUGGGGAAUAACUGAGAGAAAUCUUAGCUAAUACCGCAUAACACUUACGAGUCAAAGCAGCAAUGCGCUUGGAGAGGAGUUCGCGGCAGAUUAGUUAGUUGGCGGGGUAAUGGCCACCAAGACGAUGAUCUGUA
RNAcentral lists this ribosomal RNA (244 nucleotides) under uncultured bacterium. RNAcentral describes it as "partial small subunit ribosomal RNA". It matches the Rfam family "Bacterial small subunit ribosomal RNA", at positions 26 to 285 of the family's 1533-position model. The record is from RNAcentral.